CUCGGGGUUCAGCAGGCGAGAAAACUUUACAACGCUGGCAACGUCGAUAAGGGCACCUGGAGUGCCAGGCUACAAAUCUGGCGGUCGUGAUGCGUAAAAAGCAGUGCAUAGCAAGGGCCGGGCAAGACCGGAGCCGGCCGCCGCGGUAACACUGGUCGGCUUGAGUGGUAACCGUUAUUAUUGGGUCUAAAGGGUCGGUAUCCGGCCGGGUAAGUUUCUCGGGAAAUGUGGCAGCUUAACUGUCAGGCUUUCAGGAGAUACCGCGAGGCUCGUGGCCGGGAGAGGUGAGAGGUACUUCACGGGGUAGGGGUGAAAUCCUUGUAAUCCAUGAAGGACCACCAGCGGGGAAGGCGUCUCACCAGAACGGAACCUGACGGCAAGGGAUAGAAAGCUAGGGGCACGAACCGGAUUAGAUACCCGGGUAGUGCCUACCCGUAAACGAUACCUCGCUAGGUGUCGCCCAGCGGUGCGGCCGUGGUCGGAGCCGUAGGGAAGCCGUGAACGCGAGCCACCUGCGAAGCACGGCCGCAAGGCUGAAAACAUAAAGGAAUCGGCGGGCGAGCACAAGGGCGAUUCGC
Molecule: ribosomal RNA, 578 nt
Filed under: uncultured archaeon
Lineage: Archaea
Description: bacterial SSU rRNA
Rfam family: Archaeal small subunit ribosomal RNA
Source: RNAcentral